Molecule: ribosomal RNA, 253 nt
Filed under: uncultured bacterium
Lineage: Bacteria
Description: partial 16S ribosomal RNA
Rfam family: Bacterial small subunit ribosomal RNA
Source: RNAcentral
UACGAGUGGUCCAAGCGUUAUCCGGAAUUAUUGGGCGUAAAGGAUGUGUAGGUGGUUAUGUUAGUCUGGUGUCUAACCUCUGAGCUCAACUUGGAGACAGCAUUGGAAACGGCAUGGCUAGAGUAUGUGAGGGGUAAGCGGAACUAAUGGUGUAGGGGUGAAAUCCGUUGAUAUUAUUGGGAACACCAAAAGCGAAGGCAGCUUACUGGCACAUUACUGACACUGAAACAUGAAAGCGUGGGUAGCGAAUGGG